GAUGAACGCUAGCGGGAGGCUUAAUACAUGCAAGUCGAGGGGCAUCACGGGACUUCGGUCCUGGUGGCGACCGGCGCACGGGUGAGUAACGCGUACACAACCUACCUUCAAGAGGGGGAUAGCCUUGGGAAACUGAGAUUAAUACCCCAUGUGAUUAACUUUUUGAUGAUUGGUUAAUUAAAGCUGAGGCGCUUGAAGAUGGGUGUGCGUCUGAUUAGGUAGUUGGUGAGGUAACGGCUCACCAAGCCGACGAUCAGUAGGGGGCGUGAGAGCGUGACCCCCCACACGGGUACUGAGACACGGACCCGACUCCUACGGGAGGCAG
Molecule: ribosomal RNA, 325 nt
Filed under: uncultured Bacteroidota bacterium
Lineage: Bacteria; Pseudomonadati; Bacteroidota
Description: bacterial SSU rRNA
Rfam family: Bacterial small subunit ribosomal RNA
Source: RNAcentral